This 424-nucleotide ribosomal RNA is filed under the name Verrucomicrobiota bacterium. RNAcentral describes it as "Verrucomicrobia bacterium partial 16S ribosomal RNA". It matches the Rfam family "Bacterial small subunit ribosomal RNA", at positions 355 to 776 of the family's 1533-position model. Lineage: Bacteria; Pseudomonadati; Verrucomicrobiota. The record is from RNAcentral.
UGAGGAAUAUUGGUCAAUGGACGAGAGUCUGAACCAGCCAAGUAGCGUGCAGGAUGACGGCCCUAUGGGUUGUAAACUGCUUUUGUUUGGGAAUAAUCGACAUUACGUGUAAUGUUUUGCAUGUACCAUUCGAAUAAGGACCGGCUAAUUCCGUGCCAGCAGCCGCGGUAAUACGGAAGGUCCAGGCGUUAUCCGGAUUUAUUGGGUUUAAAGGGAGUGUAGGCGGUUGGUUAAGCGUGUUGUGAAAUGUAGAUGCUCAACAUCUGACUUGCAGCGCGAACUGGCUGACUUGAGUACACACAACGUAGGCGGAAUUCAUGGGGUAGCGGUGAAAUGCUUAGAUAUCAUGAAGAACUCCGAUUGCGAAGGCAGCUUACGGGAGUGUUACUGACGCUUAAGCUCGAAGGUGCGGGUAUCGAACAGG